RNAcentral lists this unclassified non-coding RNA (332 nucleotides) under soil metagenome. RNAcentral's name for it is "partial contains 5.8S ribosomal RNA, internal transcribed spacer 2, and large subunit ribosomal RNA". The stretch from base 1 to 120 matches the Rfam family "5.8S ribosomal RNA", at positions 35 to 154 of the family's 154-position model. The record is from RNAcentral.
GAUGAAGAACGUAGCGAAAUGCGAUAAGUAGUGUGAAUUGCAGAAUUCAGUGAAUCAUCGAAUCUUUGAACGCACAUUGCGCCCCUUGGUAUUCCUUAGGGCAUGCCUGUUCGAGCGUCAUUUAAACCUUCAAGCUAAGCUUGGUGUUGGGUGACUGUCCGCUUCACUGCGGACUCGCCUCAAAAUUAUUGGCGGCCGGUACAUUGGCUUCGAGCGCAGCAGAAACGCGAACUCGGGCCCGUCGUAUUGGCUCCCAGAAGCUAUCUUCACAAUUUUGACCUCGGAUCAGGUAGGGAUACCCGCUGAACUUAAGCAUAUCAAUAAGCGGAGGA